This 1413-nucleotide ribosomal RNA is filed under the name metagenome. RNAcentral describes it as "bacterial SSU rRNA". It matches the Rfam family "Bacterial small subunit ribosomal RNA". The record is from RNAcentral.
GGCGGCGUGCUUAACACAUGCAAGUCGAACGAACCUUCGGGUUAGUGGCGGACGGGUGAGUAACGCGUGGGAAUCUGCCCUCAGGAGGGGGAUAACGACUGGAAACGGUCGCUAAUACCCCAUAUGCCGAGAGGUGAAAUGAAUUUCGCCUGAGGAUGAGCCCGCGUCUGAUUAGCUAGUUGGUGGGGUAAGAGCUCACCAAGGCGACGAUCAGUAGCUGGUCUGAGAGGAUGACCAGCCACACUGGGACUGAGACACGGCCCAGACUCCUACGGGAGGCAGCAGUGGGGAAUUUUCCGCAAUGGGCGAAAGCCUGACGGAGCAACGCCGCGUGAGGGAUGAAGGCCUCUGGGCUGUAAACCUCUUUUCUCAAGGAAGAAGAUCUGACGUUACUUGAGGAAUAAGCCACGGCUAAUUCCGUGCCAGCAGCCGCGGUAAUACGGGAGUGGCAAGCGUUAUCCGGAAUCACUGGGCGUAAAGCGUCCGCAGGUGGCUUUGUAAGUCUGCCGUUAAAGCGUGGAGCUUAACUCCAUUUCAGCGGUGGAAACUACAAGGCUUGAGUGUGGUAGGGGCAGAGGGAAUUCCCGGUGUAGCGGUGAAAUGCGUAGAUAUCGGGAAGAACACCAGUGGCGAAGGCGCUCUGCUGGGCCAUAACUGACACUCAUGGACGAAAACCAGGGGAGCGAAAGGGAUUAGAUACCCCUGUAGUCCUGGCCGUAAACGAUGAACACUAGGCGUCGGGGGAAUCGACCCCCUCGGUGUCGUAGCCAACGCGUUAAGUGUUCCGCCUGGGGAGUACGCACGCAAGUGUGAAACUCAAAGGAAUUGACGGGGGCCCGCACAAGCGGUGGAGUAUGUGGUUUAAUUCGAUGCAACGCGAAGAACCUUACCAGGGUUUGACAUCCUGCGGACCCCUGAGAAAUCGGGGGGUGCCUUCGGGAACGCAGUGACAGGUGGUGCAUGGCUGUCGUCAGCUCGUGUCGUGAGAUGUUGGGUUAAGUCCCGCAACGAGCGCAACCCACGUCUUUAGUUGCCAGCAUUCAGUUGGGCACUCUAGAGAGACCGCCGGUGAUAAACCGGAGGAAGGUGUGGAUGACGUCAAGUCAUCAUGCCCCUUACAUCCUGGGCUACACACGUACUACAAUGCUACGGACAAAGGGCAGCGAACUCGCGAGAGCAAGCAAAUCCCAUAAACCGUGGCUCAGUUCAGAUCGUAGGCUGCAACUCGCCUACGUGAAGGAGGAAUCGCUAGUAAUCGCAGGUCAGCAUACUGCGGUGAAUACGUUCCCGGGCCUUGUACACACCGCCCGUCACACCAUGGAAGUUAGCCACGCCCGAAGUCGUUACUCCAACCCUUGUGGAGGAGGAUGCCGAAGGUGGGGCUGAUGACUGGGGUGAAGUCGUAACAAGGUA